AAAUAUCUAUUAACAUAGGUAUCCUAUUUACAUAGUAAUUAAUAUAAUAUUUAAAUUAAUAGGAGUUAAUAGUGGCUCGUAUAGCAGGUAUAAAUAUUCCUGAU
Regulatory RNA element from Candidatus Ishikawaella capsulata Mpkobe, 104 nucleotides. It matches the Rfam family "Alpha operon ribosome binding site". Rfam says of the family: The bacterial alpha operon ribosome binding site is surrounded by this complex pseudoknotted structure. NCBI's taxonomy places the organism in Bacteria, Pseudomonadati, Pseudomonadota, Gammaproteobacteria, Enterobacterales, Enterobacteriaceae. The record is from Rfam.